GGUUAAGCGACUAAGCGUACACGGUGGAUGCCCUGGCAGUCAGAGGCGAUGAAGGACGUGCUAAUCUGCGAAAAGCGCCGGCGAGGUGAUAUGAACCCUUGACCCGGCGAUGUCCGAAUGGGGAAACCCAGUGUGUUCCGACACACUAUCGUUAACUGAAUACAUAGGUUAACGAGGCGAACCGGGGGAACUGAAACAUCUAAGUACCCCGAGGAAAAGAAAUCAACCGAGAUUCCCCCAGUAGCGGCGAGCGAACGGGGAGCAG
This 265-nucleotide ribosomal RNA is filed under the name Enterobacter hormaechei. RNAcentral describes it as "partial 23S ribosomal RNA". It matches the Rfam family "Bacterial large subunit ribosomal RNA", at positions 1 to 267 of the family's 2925-position model. The record is from RNAcentral. Lineage: Bacteria; Pseudomonadati; Pseudomonadota; Gammaproteobacteria; Enterobacterales; Enterobacteriaceae. RNAcentral also lists the same sequence under 1 other name.